Molecule: small RNA, 967 nt
Filed under: Pan troglodytes (chimpanzee)
Lineage: Eukaryota; Metazoa; Chordata; Mammalia; Primates; Hominidae
Description: retained intron
Source: RNAcentral
GACGCGAUGAGGUUCCGGUUCUGUGGUGAUCUGGACUGUCCCGACUGGGUCCUGGCAGAAAUCAGCACGCUGGCCAAGAUGGUUAAGUGCACAGGGUCUACACUGGGUGGAGGAGGGGUGUUGGGCUGGGGAUUGUGGCUGUAGAGGAUGGUGAGGUUUCUCUGGGGCUAGGGCCUCAGUGCUCUCAGCCUGUGCUGCCAUGCUUUGUGACCUUGAUCAGUGGCUGGCCUGCUCUGAGCCUGUCCCCAGGAAGGAGGGGUGAGGUUUGCCAGCCUGGCUGAUGUAAGGACUUCCCUUCCAGUCCUCUGUGAAGUUGCGGCUGCUCUGCAGCCAGGUACUAAAGGAGCUGCUGGGACAGGGGAUUGAUUAUGAGAAGAUCCUGAAGCUCACGGCUGACGCCAAGUUUGAGUCAGGCGAUGUGAAGGCCACAGUGGCAGUGCUGAGUUUCAUCCUCUCCAGUGCGGCCAAGCACAGUGUCGAUGGCGAAUCCUUGUCCAGUGAACUGCAGCAGCUGGGGCUGCCCAAAGGUACGGGUUGUGGGUUGGCAGCUGGGCAGCCUGUCGGCCAAGGGCUGCUAGAGAGGGGACAGGCCCUGAGGUGUACCCUGCCCUGUUUGGGCCAGGAGCCCAAGCCCAGCCCCCACCUGCUACCUCCAGAGCUUCUCCAUUCUACCCCCAGAGCACGCGGCCAGCCUGUGCCGCUGUUAUGAGGAGAAGCAAAGCCCCUUGCAGAAGCACUUGCGGGUCUGCAGCCUACGCAGUAAGUAUGAGGCCAGCCAGGGUCCGGGCUCAUUCUAGAAGGUGCACGCAGCACGCAAAGUGCAUGGAGAGUCCAGGGAGACGACUUAACCACGGUCACAUGGUUACUAGCAGCCGUAGAGCUGGGACCUGGCCCUGGGUCUCCUGACUCCCCCCAAGGUUUCUUGUCACUGAGGUCUGCUGUGGGUGAUGCGAACUGAUUAUCGGGC